GUUACUAUCCCACGCUCCUCUCAGUGUGGCAUUUCGUCGUCUUGAAGACUGCUAUCCCUUCAGUCAGUUUUGGGCAAGGCUACUUUAUUUCACCAUGAGGGCUGCCCGUUCUCGCUCCCUCGCCUUUGCCAUGCUCAUGCUUGUGUUGCUCUACUUGGCGAUGGUCAGCAGCGCUCGCAAGACCGGCCUCAAGCCGGCUGUCCUGGGCAGCCACGCUGGCCACAAGAACCCUCCGGUUUCUUCCCAUAGCGGCCAUCCCCAAGCUUCUCCUGAAACCCGACGGAACACCGGCUACGGGGCCCAAGUGUUCAUGGACGACUAUGGUCAUGGAGCUCCUAAUCCUCGACCUUGUUGUUGUGGUCAUUGAUGAGCCGGUUUGACAGCAUGACGUGAUGAAAAGAUGAGGAGAAGAAAAUUCACAAUAAUAAAACAAAUAUCGCACUCCCCCUACAUUCGUAGUUGUGUCUAUCACUCCAUCUAUAUGUGUUUACUUUUGAUUGUCCUUCUUGGCAUGGUGAUGAGUCAAAGCUGAUGACGACUGUAGUCUCAGCAAAAAUAAUCAUAGCGGCUUUUAGGGUGCCGGGCCGCUGCGGGCUGUUGUAAUUUAUGCAGGGUUGCAUAUUGAUAUUGUUUAGAAGUGGACUUCAUGUACCCACUACCGACCCUUGAAAUAGAUGUUCACCAAGUGUGUGUGUGUGUGUGUAGUAGACAAUGGUGACUUUUCAACCAUUGCCCAUAUGGACGAUUGGAGACAAGGACCGUGGAUGUGUUGAGAUCAUAGUCCUUAAUUGUCUUUAAUCAU
Panicum virgatum (switchgrass) is the source of this 802-nucleotide long non-coding RNA. RefSeq lists it as uncharacterized. The record is from RefSeq and is a predicted model, not a curated record. The transcript is spliced from 2 exons. Lineage: Eukaryota; Viridiplantae; Streptophyta; Magnoliopsida; Poales; Poaceae.